Molecule: ribosomal RNA, 164 nt
Filed under: uncultured bacterium
Lineage: Bacteria
Description: partial 16S rRNA
Rfam family: Bacterial small subunit ribosomal RNA
Source: RNAcentral
UAGGGAAUCUUCCACAAUGGACGCAAAUCUGAUGGAGCAACGCCGCGUGAGUGAAGAAGGUCUUCGGAUCGUAAAACUCUGUUGUUAGAGAAGAACACGAGUGAGAGUAACUGUUCAUUCGAUGACGGUAUCUAACCAGCAAGUCACGGCUAACUACGUGCUAG